This 92-nucleotide ribosomal RNA is filed under the name Oenococcus oeni. Lineage: Bacteria; Bacillati; Bacillota; Bacilli; Lactobacillales; Lactobacillaceae. The record is from RNAcentral.
CACCUGUUCCCAUUCCGAACACAGAAGUUAAGCUUGUCAGGGCCCAAAGUAGUUACAGGAACGCCUGUUGCAAGGUUAGGUCGAUGCGAUGC